This 183-nucleotide non-coding RNA is filed under the name Thermosinus carboxydivorans Nor1. Its description in RNAcentral is "6S / SsrS RNA". It matches the Rfam family "6S / SsrS RNA". Rfam says of the family: E. coli 6S RNA was the first non coding RNA to be sequenced, but its function was unknown until recently. It consists of 184 nucleotides that fold into an extended hairpin structure with a large single-stranded internal bulge. The 6S RNA specifically associates with RNA polymerase holoenzyme containing the sigma70 specificity factor. The record is from Rfam by way of RNAcentral. Lineage: Bacteria; Bacillati; Bacillota; Negativicutes; Selenomonadales; Sporomusaceae.
AGUGCCCUGCUGUGUUCGUGUAAGCCCGGAUGUUUUGAGCCAACACAUACACUAUGGGAGCCUAACUCUGAUUAUGGCAUGUAUGCCCCAUACUCUUUUGGGGGACACAUAAAGUAAUCAGGAGGGCACCCACCUGCCGGGGGCAGGUUCAAAACAACGGCAAUACGGCAUGGUGGGGACUUA